Small nuclear RNA from Talpa occidentalis (Iberian mole), 110 nucleotides. NCBI's taxonomy places the organism in Eukaryota, Metazoa, Chordata, Mammalia, Eulipotyphla, Talpidae. The record is from RefSeq and is a predicted model, not a curated record.
UUGCUCACAUCGGCAGCACAUAUACUAAAAUUGGAACGAUACAGAGAAUAAUAAUAGCAUGGCCCCUGCACAAGGAUGACACGCAUAUUCGUGAAACAUUACAUAUUUUU